GUAGCGGCGAGUGAAGCGGCAAAAGCUCAAAUUUGAAAUCUGGCACUUUCAGUGUCCGAGUUGUAAUUUGAAGAAGGUAUCUUUGGGUCUGGCUCUUGUCUAUGUUUCUUGGAACAGAACGUCACAGAGGGUGAGAAUCCCGUGCGAUGAGAUGUCCCAGACCUAUGUAAAGUUCCUUCGAAGAGUCGAGUUGUUUGGGAAUGCAGCUCUAAGUGGGUGGUAAAUUCCAUCUAAAGCUAAAUAUUGGCGAGAGACCGAUAGCGAACAAGUACAGUGAUGGAAAGAUGAAAAGAACUUUGAAAAGAGAGUGAAAAAGUACGUGAAAUUGUUGAAAGGGAAGGGCUUGAGAUCAGACUUGGUAUUUUGUAUGUUACUCUCUCGGGGGUGGCCUCUACAGUUUACCGGGCCAGCAUCAGUUUGAGCGGUAGGAUAAGUGCAAAGAAAUGUGGCACUGCUUCGGUAGUGUGUUAUAGUCUUUGUCGAUACUGCCAGCUUAGACUGAGGACUGCGGCUUCGGCCUAGGAUGUUGGCAUAAUGAUCUUAAGUCGCCCGUCUUGAAACACGGACCAAGGAGUCUAACGUCUAUGCGAGUGUUUGGGUGUAAAACCCGUACGCGUAAUGAAAGUGAACGUAGGUAGGACCUCCUUUAGGAGUGCACUAUCGACCGAUCCUGAUGUCUUCGGAUGGAUUUGAGUAAGAGCAUAGCUGUUGGGACCCGAAAGAUGGUGAACUAUGCCUGAAUAGGGUGAAGCCAGAGGAAACUCUGGUGGAGGCUCGUAGCGGUUCUGACGUGCAAAUCGAUCGUCGAAUUUGGGUAUAGGGGCGAAAG
This 829-nucleotide ribosomal RNA is filed under the name Lodderomyces parapsilosis. RNAcentral describes it as "LSU rRNA". It matches the Rfam family "Eukaryotic large subunit ribosomal RNA", at positions 83 to 929 of the family's 3401-position model. Lineage: Eukaryota; Fungi; Ascomycota; Pichiomycetes; Serinales; Debaryomycetaceae. The record is from RNAcentral.